CGUGAGGCCCACCCCCAGCGCUGCCAUUGAGGAGCAUUGACUCAGUGAGUGCAAGAGGUUUGUUUGAAACAGACCGCAAUGGAGAGAUCAGCGCCCAGGGAAGCGAGGGAACAGCAGGCUCCUUCCAGCAGCACAUCGGGAUGGGAGCCUGGGACACAGAGGGGGCUCCGAGACCGGGAUUGAUUCGGGGCAAAUAUUUGAUGGACCAAUCCGAGAGCGACCAGCUGCUUCUCACAAUCAGCAGACAAUUACUUGAAGGACCAAGACACUGUAAUAUGUGCUCAGUACAAAGCCAAGUGUGAUCAGUUCCUUCGAAAAAACAGCAGGCUGCUCAGCCUUACCAAGCCACAAAUGCAGCUGCAGCCCCGGUGCAAGGAGAGUACCCCCAGACUAUGCCGGAAGGACAGGGGUACUAAUAUUGACGGGGCCCGAGAAUCCAGGGGCAUGUGGGGUUGGCAGACCCCUAUAUGCAAAUGAGGAUAAUGGACAAGAAUCUGUCUUUUUUGGUUGACAUGGGUUGAACUGACUGCAGAACAGUUGGAAUGGUAUGAGAUGUCUGAAGAAGCUAUACCUCAUCUCACAUUGACCGUGCAUGCUAACUAUCAGGCCAAGGAUCUGGGACCCAUGUCCAAACGUAU
This is a non-coding RNA of Chiloscyllium plagiosum (whitespotted bambooshark), 638 nucleotides long. NCBI's taxonomy places the organism in Eukaryota, Metazoa, Chordata, Chondrichthyes, Orectolobiformes, Hemiscylliidae. The record is from RefSeq and is a predicted model, not a curated record.